UACAGAGGUCCCGAGCGUUAGGCGGAAUCACUGGGCUUAAAGCGUGUGUAGGUGGAUCGUUAAGUACCUUGUGAAAUCCCACGGCUCACCCGUGGAACUGCUCGGUAUACUGGUCGUCUUGAGCCUUCUAGGGGCGAGUGGAACAAAUGGUGGAGCGGUGAAAUGCGUAGAUAUCAUUUGGAACGCCAAUGGUGAAAACAACUCGCUGGGGAAGUGCUGACGCUGAGACACGAAAGCCAGGGGAGCGAACGGG
Molecule: ribosomal RNA, 253 nt
Filed under: uncultured bacterium
Lineage: Bacteria
Description: partial 16S ribosomal RNA
Rfam family: Bacterial small subunit ribosomal RNA
Source: RNAcentral